UUUGAAAAUAUAUUUUAAUGUUAUGGCUUCAUUAUAUAGAUCAACAGGUCAUACAUAGUAAACAAAUAGCUACUUUAUAAUAACACUCAAGUGUUUUUACUAAAAUUUAAAUAAAAUUAUAUUUUGUCCAUCAUUCAGGUUGCAGAGAUGUAGUACUUUCAAUAUGAUUCUGAGGUGUGGGAGUUGUACUCACAAGCCAUUCUGAAGAGAAAUCUCAUUCAACUUCUGAGGAGACAUCUUACUUAAUCUCCAUUUAACCCUUUUAUGUAAGUAAUUGGCAAGUUAAAAAGUCCAGUUCCUAGACUCCUUUGCAGCUAGGUUCUGUCCCUUAGACACUCUUAGAUGAGAUCUAGAAACCACAAGUGAGGCAGGGGCCAUUUUCUUGCUCAUGUUGCAGCUGGCAGGUAAGUUCUGACAGUUGU
This 422-nucleotide long non-coding RNA is filed under the name Ovis aries (sheep). Its description in RNAcentral is "lncRNA (ENSOARG00000025526.1)". Lineage: Eukaryota; Metazoa; Chordata; Mammalia; Artiodactyla; Bovidae. The record is from RNAcentral.